This 72-nucleotide transfer RNA is filed under the name Camelus bactrianus (Bactrian camel). It matches the Rfam family "tRNA". From Rfam's summary of the family: Transfer RNA (tRNA) molecules are approximately 80 nucleotides in length. Their secondary structure includes four short double-helical elements and three loops (D, anti-codon, and T loops). RNAcentral also lists the same sequence under 2 other names. The record is from Rfam by way of RNAcentral. Lineage: Eukaryota; Metazoa; Chordata; Mammalia; Artiodactyla; Camelidae.
CAAGGUAUAGCUCAGUGGUAGAGCAUGUGCUUAGCGUGCAUGAAGCCCUGGGUUCAGUCCCCAGUACCUCCA